This 38-nucleotide ribosomal RNA is filed under the name Pezicula sp. 8 CC-2015. Its description in RNAcentral is "partial 18S ribosomal RNA". Lineage: Eukaryota; Fungi; Ascomycota; Leotiomycetes; Helotiales; Dermateaceae. The record is from RNAcentral.
GUAACAAGGUCUCCCGUAGGUGAACCUGCGGAGGGAUC